Molecule: long non-coding RNA, 249 nt
Filed under: Lathyrus oleraceus (garden pea)
Lineage: Eukaryota; Viridiplantae; Streptophyta; Magnoliopsida; Fabales; Fabaceae
Description: Pisum sativum (pea) long non-coding RNA (PSAT_LNC019826)
Source: RNAcentral
AACAUAAGCAUAAACUUAAGCAAUCAACAAUCAAAUGAACUCUUGGAAGAUUCCUCUCUCUUAGAAGCUCAUGGAAAUAGUUCCCCAAUUUGGCUCAACGUUGGAAUCCCUAGCACAAAAACACACACAUCAAAAGGUUCUAUAAUAUAAUCAAAGAAUGGACAAGAGGGAGUUUAGAAUAUGGUCCUUUCAAUGUUCAUCUUCAAGCUUUAAGCAUUCUAAAGGCAUGAGGCCUAGUUGCUCUUUGAC